RNAcentral lists this long non-coding RNA (447 nucleotides) under Homo sapiens (human). Its description in RNAcentral is "non-protein coding lnc-SLFNL1-2:1". Lineage: Eukaryota; Metazoa; Chordata; Mammalia; Primates; Hominidae. The record is from RNAcentral.
GCCAAAUCAGUGACUAAGUACUUCCGAGAGAGAUUAAAGAUUCAAUGGAACUCUGCGUCUCUCAUCUGGAACCCAGGACACAGAACAAGGGAGGGAAGAAAAGCUCAGCCUUAAACAUAGCAAGGUGAAACCUUUGUCCUGGGGAAUAGUCUGGCCCGCUCCUUGGAACCACACUCAGACUCAAUGGACUCUGCCUCAAAUCCCACCAACCUUGUCAGCACCUCCCAAAGGCACCGGCCCUUGCUUUCAUCCUGUGGCCUCCCACCAAGCACUGCCUCAGCUGUGCGCAGGCUAUGCUCCAGGGGGUCGGACCGAUACCUGGAGAGCCGCGAUGCCUCUCGACUGAGUGGCCGGGACCCCUCCUCAUGGACAGUCGAGGAUGUGAUGCAGUUUGUCCGGGAAGCUGAUCCUCAGCUUGGACCCCACGCUGACCUGUUUCGCAAACAC